UCUGUUCUUAUCAGUUUAAUAUCUGAUACGUCCUCUAUCCGAGGACAAUAUAUUAAAUGGAUUUUUGGAGCAGGGAGUUGGAAUAGGAGCUUGCUCCGUCCACUCCACGCAUCGACCUGGUAUUGCAGUAUACUACAUGGCUAUAG
Molecule: small nuclear RNA, 146 nt
Filed under: Saimiri boliviensis boliviensis (Bolivian squirrel monkey)
Lineage: Eukaryota; Metazoa; Chordata; Mammalia; Primates; Cebidae
Description: U2 spliceosomal RNA (ENSSBOG00000009029.1)
Rfam family: U2 spliceosomal RNA
About the family: U2 is a small nuclear RNA (snRNA) component of the spliceosome (involved in pre-mRNA splicing). Complementary binding between U2 snRNA (in an area lying towards the 5' end but 3' to hairpin I) and the branchpoint sequence (BPS) of the intron results the bulging out of an unpaired adenosine, on the BPS, which initiates a nucleophilic attack at the intronic 5' splice site, thus starting the first of two transesterification reactions that mediate splicing.
Source: RNAcentral